This 363-nucleotide ribosomal RNA is filed under the name uncultured bacterium. RNAcentral describes it as "bacterial SSU rRNA". It matches the Rfam family "Bacterial small subunit ribosomal RNA", at positions 441 to 793 of the family's 1533-position model. The record is from RNAcentral.
AGGAAGGUAGUGUAGUUAACACCUGCAUUAUUUGACGUUACCUACAGAAGAAGCACCGGCUAACUCCGUGCCAGCAGCCGCGGUAAUACGGAGGGUGCGAGCGUUAAUCGGAAUUACUGGGCGUAAAGCGCAUGCAGGCGGCCUGUUAAGUCAGAUGUGAAAGACCCGGGGCGUUAACCUCGGAAUUGCAUUUGUAAACUAGGCAGGCUAGAGUCUUGUAGAGGGGGGUAGGAAUUUCAGGUGUAGCGGUGAAAUAGCGUAGAGAUCUGAAGGAAUACCAGUGGCGAAGGCGGCCCCCUCGGACAAAGACUGACGCUCAGAUGCGAAAGCGUGGGGAGCAAACAGGAUUAGAUACCCUGGUAG